This 425-nucleotide ribosomal RNA is filed under the name uncultured bacterium. Its description in RNAcentral is "bacterial SSU rRNA". It matches the Rfam family "Bacterial small subunit ribosomal RNA", at positions 356 to 773 of the family's 1533-position model. The record is from RNAcentral.
GGGGAAUUUUGGACAAUGGGCGCAAGCCUGAUCCAGCAAUGCCGCGUGCAGGAAGAAGGCCUUCGGGUUGUAAACUGCUUUUGUCAGGGAAGAAAUCUUCUGGGUUAAUACCUCGGGAGGAUGACGGUACCUGAAGAAUAAGCACCGGCUAACUACGUGCCAGCAGCCGCGGUAAUACGUAGGGUGCGAGCGUUAAUCGGAAUUACUGGGCGUAAAGCGUGCGCAGGCGGCUUUGCAAGACAGAGGUGAAAUCCCCGGGCUCAACCUGGGAACUGCCUUUGUGACUGCAAGGCUAGAGUACGGCAGAGGGGGAUGGAAUUCCGCGUGUAGCAGUGAAAUGCGUAGAUAUGCGGAGGAACACCAAUGGCGAAGGCAAUCCCCUGGGCCUGUACUGACGCUCAUGCACGAAAGCGUGGGGAGCAAAC